GCCAGAGCAGCAUCAGAGCGGAGUCUCCUUGCUCUGGGCUGCUCCAGGCCAGGCUAUGCGGAAAGUGGGUUGUUAUGAGGAUUCAAUGAGGAGACCUGUAUGAAGUGCCUUCCCCUGUGCCUGGCUCAUAUGUUUAUCCUGGCAGGUUCUGGCCUUUGGGAAGACUCUGAGACACUGAGAGACCCGGCCCCCCAUUUCUUCUCUGACCCAGGGUACAGGUUACCUUCAGCGCCAUGGCCUUUUCAUCAAGGUUCGCCUUCUGGGAGCAAAAGGAAAGUUGGAUUUUAAAAUCUUUAUGUUUUUCCUGUGUGCUUGGCAUGUUGUAUCUGCAGGCAGGAGACUGGCUUGUGGGAGAGGGAGCUUUGGAAGCUAGAGAUGGAUUGGGGCAUGUGUGUAUAAUUGGGGGUGGCAGGGAGAAUGACGGGGGCUGGUGAACUCCCUAUUCUGGCUGGAUGGGCUCCUGCACUGAGUCAUGCUCCUCCCCUAAGCCCCACCUCUGGUAAGGUGAGCUGCCUUUUGUCCUGCUGGUGUCCCUCUGGGUUAACCCCUCCACACCCUUCCCACCACCCUGCUGCCUUGACUCACCCCUGGAACGUGGGCUGCUGUGGAGGGACCGCUGGAACUGGGUCUCCCUGAUCCUGGGGGCUGCAGUGGGUAGGAGGACAAGGGGCCAAGGGUGGGGAGUCAGGCCAGUUGGCCACCUGGGUCCAGAGGGUGAUUCAGGCCACAGACUUGGGACUGCCUGUGUGUGUGCCUUUAUGCGUGUGCAUAGUCCCCAGCUGGGCAGUGACCUACAACAGCCAGAGCCCUUCUGAUGGGGGAGGGAGCAGUGAGUCAGCCUGAUGCUAAAUCCAGAGCUGAGCUCAGAGCUGGGCCCAGUGUUUCAGACACUUGGGGGGCACCCAGUGUUUUCCCCAAUGCCACACCUUGGGCCAGACAUUUGGGGUCCCAAACUUGAGCCACUGGAGGGAGGACAGAUUUGGAGCUGGUGAAGAACACAGAGUGGACUUGGAAUCUGGGCUACCCCGGCACCCAAGUUAACAGCACUGCGUGCAGUAAUGAGUGUGUCUGUGUGGUUUGCGAACACUUGUCCUCCCACUAACCUGUGUGCCCCAGAACUACUGCAUGGUGUGAUCCCUGGGGCAGCAAGGGGGAGAGUGAUGGCUUGGUGGGGGGCAGCAGGCACAGACCUAGACCCUGCCACUCUUCCUCCCUCUGUCCACCAGUCCCUCCCUUCCCUUUCUCUGCUCCGAUUCCAAUUCUUAAAGAAGUAGGCUCCACUCUGGUGAAUAUUUGCCAUUUCCCCUCGUCCUUGGCAUUGUGAGCUAACUAUGAAGAUUGAGCCCG
This 1347-nucleotide long non-coding RNA is filed under the name Pan troglodytes (chimpanzee). RNAcentral's name for it is "long non-coding RNA NONPTRT006779". Lineage: Eukaryota; Metazoa; Chordata; Mammalia; Primates; Hominidae. The record is from RNAcentral.